Non-coding RNA from Doryrhamphus excisus (bluestripe pipefish), 764 nucleotides. Lineage: Eukaryota; Metazoa; Chordata; Actinopteri; Syngnathiformes; Syngnathidae. The record is from RefSeq and is a predicted model, not a curated record.
AAAAAAAAAGCCCUCAGACGGGAAGAAAGUCUCUCUGAGAACCAAAAAAGAAGUGGGAGUGGCAAGCGUCUCCGGACUUUCAUCCCAGCCUCGCUGUGACUCAUGCAUGCACUCAAUAGGACUGAAUGAAGCUGGCGCUUACUAAGCCAUGGCAGACAUCAUCAGAAGAAGCAGGAGGUUAAAAGCUAGCCUGAGUCAAACAUGAGAGACCCCGUGUACUCUUUGCACAGUUACACAAUAAACACAAGAGUUACUGUGGGAAAGAAAUCAACGUAGGGAAGUAAAAUCCCGUCUUGAAAUGUGAUGAGGGAUUUGUGAUUUCUAUUUUCGGAAUUUUUUAUUGUACGUGAGGGGAUUGAGUCGAGUUUUGGGUCAAGGUUGAUGCAGUUUUUAUGCCAAAUCACAUAUUUUCUCAUGUAUCACUAAAGCAAAGCAAAUAACGCCAAACAAUCCCCCAUCAAAAAGUGUAUUUCAUAUUACAUGUAUUGCAUUUAUGCGUUUAGGAUUUUUUUUCUUGAGUGUUUAUCUUCUGGCUGAUAAUGACAGAAUCAAGUUAAAUUAAAGGGGAACUGAAUUUUGUGCGAAUUUUGGCCAUCAUUCACAAUCCUUAUGUGAAACAUAAACUUUGGGUACAUUUGUCUUUGUUUUUUUGUUGUUGUUUUUUUAAACUGUGGAAGUGUACAUGACUUUUUGUUGUGGGACAGGUCCUAGAUUUAUUAUGCUUUAUUAUUAUUCCAACAUAUGAUAGUUGUCCCCAAAUGCCA